CCUAAAGAUCAUGUCAUUGGGCUAGCUAGGCCCAACAAGCACGAUUUGAAACUUUUGAGCCCAAAGAUGGUGUAUUGACUUCUCGUGAAGUUUUUGUGUGUGUAUUGUAGUACCAUUGUUUAUUGAUUUUUUAUUCGUUAUUGAUUCGAGACCGAAUCAAUUCGUUUGAUAACGAUUUUGGUGUUGAAGGUGUAUUUAUUAUUACGUUUCGCCGGUAGACGUAGUACUCGUAUUUUUAUUGUAAGGGAUCUAUUGUUUUAAGAGUGUGAGUUUACCUUCUUAAGCCCUUUCUCGGAUAAAAUUUACACUUUUAACCCCUUGAGUAUAAAAAAUAUUUCCGGUUUAGUCCUUAAACUAUUUUUCUUGACACUUUAGUAUCAAAACUUAUUGGAAAGACAUUUUUAGCAUAAAUUUACUUGAUAAACAGCUUAAGUCCUUCAAAAAUGAAAUUUUCUCGGUUGAAACCUCCAUUUUUGCAACUUUUACAAUUUUGACCCAAAAUGGAAAAUUUUUGCAUCUUUGGUCCCUUUUUAAUUGGAAAAGCAUUUUUGACCCUCGAAAUAGAUUUGGUACACUAGUAAUCCCCUGUUUUACAGAAAUGUGCAGUUUCAGCCCCUCCAACUAAAAAAUUUCGCAAUUUGGGGCUUUAUUGGGCCGAAAAGCCCAUUUUGGCCCAUUAUGUUUAAAUUUCACAUUUUUAACCCUUCAAAAGUGUUAAUAUUCAGAAAAUACAUAUUAGAAACUGUUUAGACUCAUCUCAACCUUCAGAAUCUAUAUUUUGUCGUUUUGGGCCCCUUAGUUUUGUAUUUUUAGCAUUUUGAGCCCAAAAAUGGGUUUUAAGUCCAAAAAUGUUCAUAUUAACCAACUUGGUUAUUUUUCUAGACUUGAUUAGUGUGAAAUGGUAUAAGUUAUACUUAUUUCAUUCAUCAUAUUGUAGAUCUCAGUUUUUAAGUUCUUUUUGACUAGUACAAACACCACAAUCACAUAAGAUCAUACAUAUAAGCAUAGAAAUCACACAAAGCAUACAUAUACUCAUAGAUCUACACAUUUGCUUGUAUUCUCCCCCACAAAACUUAUAAAAACCGAAAAAGAGGGGGUAUGAAGCUCACCUUUGGGUGUGGUUUCGGUUUUUGGAAGAAAAUGAGAAGAAUUUCGGCCUUAGCAACCUUCCUUGGAAGAUUUCGAACUUGGAUGCUUCUUAGGUGCUAGAUCAUGAGUUUGAAUGAAUUAAGAGGUGAUUUUUGGAUGAAAUGAAGUAGCUAGCUUAAGGAUCUAAGAGAUUUCUUAUCUUAGAUGAUGAUUUUUGUGUAAAAAUCCCCUUGAUUCCUUCUUAAAUCUCGAAGUAUGGAUGAGUUAUGGGAGUGUUUCCUUGAGAGAAAAGUGAGUAAAAUGUGUGUGUGUGUGCUUGAACUCGGCCGAGAGCAAGAGAGAGAGGGAGAAAAAGAGUAGCUAGACUUGGAAGUAUGUGAGUGCAUGGAUGUUUGAGUCUUCAUGCAUGGAUGUCCCUUGAAUAAUUGUGAGGUGUCACUCACAAAGUCAACUCUCCUCUUCUUUUGGGCUUGGGCCGAGAAUGGGGAGGGUGAGAGGAGGUUUUUGGGCUUUUUGCCCUUAAGCCCAUGUUAUAGCUAGGUUGGAUGAUUUUUGGCCCUAAAAAAAUAUAAAUAUGAUUUUUAUGACCCGUUAGGUUAUAUUAGGUUAAUUAUGGUCCACAAUGGUUCAUAUAAUUAAUCUAUCUCAUUCUAGGCCCAAUAUGGCCCAAAAUAUGGAAUUAAAUGGAAGUGGGUCCAAUUAGAGCCCAUUUAAGAGUUCUAAGCCCAAGAUAGCCAAAUUGGAAGCUUAUUGGUCCAUUGGGCCCAAUAAGGAAGUCCUAGUCCAAAAUGGACUUAAACAAGAACGUCUAGGGUUUCCAAUUGCUUAAUGACUAUUUGAAUCGUUUGCAUGGGGUGUUUGAUUGAAAUUUUGUUGACAUAGAGUAUGCAUCAUACAUGCUAUUAUAUUUUUGAUUCAUAAAUUGGUUUAAGUGUUGGUUACAAGGCACAAAAAUUCCUAAUUGUGACAUCAUCCCCACGUUAGAGGGAAUUUCGUCCCGAAAUUCUUUUGAAAGCUAGAUUUGAGAAUGCUAGAAUAGGUGAGGGUACUUUUGCUUCAUUUGGUCUUCGCGUUGCCACGUGAAUUCUGGCCCAUGCUUCGCGUUCCACCGUACUUUCACGAUCGGGAUGCGACUUUGCUUAGUACGCUUCACCUCCCUGUCCAUGAUUUCAACCGGUUCUUCAACGAACAUGAGAUUUUCGUUGAUAUCAAUCUCGUCAAGGGGAAUGACAAGUGUUUCAUCUGAUAGGCACUUCUUUAGAUUGGAGACAUGGAACAUGGGGUGUACACUGUUUAGCUCCGCGGGUAGCUGCAGAGCAUCUGCUUCAGGGUUCGAAAUGCAACUUCUUGUUUUUCCGUCCAUUUGAAUGGUACGCCCUUUUGUGUAAGCGAGGUAAGUGGCUUGGCGAUCUUAGAGAAGUUUUGAAUGAACCUCCUAUAGUAGCCCGUUAGGCCUAAGAAUUGACGAAUUUAUGUGGGUGUUGUCGGGACUGCCCGUCCUUCAACGGCUUUGACCUUAGAGGGAUCCACAUGAAUUCCAUCUUGGCUAACAACAUGACCUAGGAAGUUCACGCUACGGAGCCAGAACUCACACUUGGAGAGUUUUGCGUAUAGCUUUUCCGAUCGCAAGUUUCUAGGAUUUGUCGGAGAUGUUGGCCAUGCUCUUCCUCGCUUCGGGAAUAAACGAGAAUGUCGUCAAUGAAGACGAUGACAAAGUUGUAGAGGAAUGGUCGACAAAUUUGGUUCAUCAGAUCCAUAAAUGUGGCAGGAGCAUUCAUUAGACUGAAGGGCAUUACGACAAAUUCAUAAUGUCUGUAACGAGUUCGGAAAGCGGUUUUAGGAAUAUCCUCUUCCCGGACUUUGAGUUGAUGGUAUCCGAACCGUAGAUCUAUCUUAGAGAAGUAACUAGCUCCUUGGAGCUGGUCAAAUAGAUCGUCGAUUUGUGGGAGUGGAUAGUGAUUUUUGACAGUGAGUUUAUAUAACUCCCUGUAAUCGAUGCACAUUCUAAAAGAUCCGUCCUUCUUUUUGACAAAGAGGACUGGAGCUCCCCAUGGCGAGUAACUAGGUCGGAUGAAUCCCUUGUCCAGGAGUUCGCUGAGUUGGCUGGACAAUUCCUGCAUUUUAGCAGGAGCUAGCCGGUAGGGCGAUUUAGCAAGAGGAGUUGCUCCUGGAACGAGGUGAAUUCGGAACUUCACUUGUCUCUCUGGGGGUACUCCAGGAAGAUCUUCAGGAAAUACGUCUGGGAAUUCACGUGCUAUGGGAAUGUCUUGAAUGUUAACCUCUUCCUUGGUUUUAUCCACUAUGUGAGCCAGGAACGUCAAAUCGUUCUUUCGUAGAUGUUUCUGUGCCUGGAUGCACGAGAUGAGGCGAAGGUUCGUGCUAGGUUUGUCUCUGUAAAUAACUAGGGUUUCGUGAUUGGGAAGGUGAAGGCGAACGACCUUCUCGUGACACAUAAUUUCAGCAUGGUGGGGGCUUAACCAGUCCAUGCCAUUAAUCACAUCGAAACUCCUAAUGGAAACAGGCAUUAAGUCUAUUCGAAAGACAUGUUGAUUUAAGGUUAGGGUACAUCCGGUGUAGAUUUCCCCGGUGGAUUCGGUUUUCCCAUUGGCCAUUUCCACCGUAAAGGUUUCAUUGAGCUUCUGGGGUUGUUCUUUUAAUAAAUGUUUAAACUUAUUGCUCACAAAACUUCGCUCUGCUUCAGUGUCAAAUAGGAUGCAUGCAUAAGUGUGGUUUAGGGGAAACGUACCGGUAACAACAGCGGGAUCCUGAAUCGCCUCCCCCUGACCCAUGGUCAGCAUCCUUCCUGUUCCUCCAUUUCCAGGAUUGUUGUUGUUAGGGCAAUCUCGGCGAAAAUGCCCAGUCCUCCCACACCCAUAGCAGGUGUGGCUAGGCCCUGCAUUGUUUUCGCCGGUGUUGAUGUUGUUGUUGUUGCGGUUGUUGUUGUUGUUGCUAUUUCCCUGUUGUUGGUUCUGAGGAGGUUAAGUCCUGCAAUACCUUGCCGUAUGUCCCUUCCGAUUGCAACUUGUGCACUUCAGCUCCUUGCACUAUCCAUUGUGAUGGAAACCACACUUGUUGCACUUGGGAAGAUUACCGGAAUAAGGUCUAGGAGCAUUCGAAGUAGCUGAGACUGGAGCAUGUGGUGUGGCCGGAACUUGUGCGGUGGUAGCAUUAACUGCCACUGUCUGCUGCUUCGUAGAAGUCUCGGGGCCUUGACGCCCCUUCCUCUUGUUGUUCUUCCCCUUCUUGCCAUCACCUUCCUUCUUGCCUUCAGCCUCCGCUGGCUUCUCACCCUUCUUGUUGUUGUGGUCAUACAGCUUCUUCGCCAAUCUCUUAACACUAUCGAAAGUUUCAGGAUUUGCAGCUAUCACGUUUCCUUGGAUUGGAGAGGUUAGUCCCCAGAUGAAUCGCUCAAUCUUCUUUCCUUCCGAGGUGAUCAUACCCGGACAUAACAGAAAUAGUUCACUAAAUCUUGAUAUGUAGGCAUCGAUAUCAGCAUUCCGUACAGUGAGGUCCCACAGCUCUUACUCCAUUUUCUGAAUCUCACCACGAGGGCAGUAUUCGGCCAUCAGCAUUUCCUUCAUUUCUGUCCAUGGCAUGGAAUUGGCUACGGGGAGUGUCAUGGCUUCCACGUGCCCGUUCCACCAAGUGAGCACUUGGUCGAAAAAAGUGUAUGCAGCAAACUUUACUUUCAUCUCUCCAGGGCAAUCGCAUAUCUCGAACACCGAUUCCACCUUCUUGAUCCAUCGUUUCAGGGUGAUCACUCCUCCGGUGCCGUUAAGGUUCGUGGNNNNNNNNGUGAAGUCCUUGUAGGUACAGGUUUUGGUGGGUCCUUGAUUCAUUCCAUUGUUCGAACUCCCGGCCCCUUGCCCGUUGCCUCCUCCGUUGUUCCCUUGGUGAAUUUGUGCCAUAGCUGUGGUGACCACAACAGAUACGGCUGCCUGGAAUGCAGUGGAGUCAACUUCGGGUGGGGUUGGUCCAGGGUUUCCGCGAGUAGGUCGGCGAGGCAUCUUUCUGUCAUGAAAUGGAAAGAUGUUGAGUGUUUGUGGCUUCUGUGAGGUUGUGAUCCUACUGACUAGGUGCAGGGUACGAACUUAGGUACUUCUACAAAUUAGCAUACAAUCAUAGAUUCGCAACACAUAACAAUUUGUAAUGUCAUAAUUAAACACAUAAAAGUUUACUAAUAUUAUCCGCGUUUGAUACAUGAAAAUUUUGCUCAAAAGAGCAUACAUAAGUGAUAUUAGUUCGACAGCAUAACGGCUCUAUGAGUAGUGUAGUCACUUAAACAUAGAGUCGAGGUACAUAGCAUAGAUCCUAAUGGUCUAGUCAGAUAAGCCUAUCCCUAAUCGCGAUGAGUUGUGCCCGGGGGUGGUGCUGAGGAAGUGGAUGCUCCCUGAAGACGAGCCACCUGUCGUUCUGCGUCCUGGAGUCGAGACUCCCACCUCACCUGCCUCAUAUGGAACUCUCGAAGGACGUCUCGUUUCUCCUGCUCUGCAGGCUCGACCCUAGUCCACAGUUGGCGUACCUGGUCGGCGGUGCUCUGAGCAAGGUCGCCAGUGUUCCGUAACCGUCUCGCCAUGACCGGGAGGGCUCGAUCGGCCGGUCCUCCGUCCCUCAGGUCAAAGAACUCGCGUGACAUGCCGAACAAGGGUCGCUGUCCCUGCUGUCUGCUUCAUCUCCAAAGAUCAAUACCCUAGGGGGUGUAGGACCAAUAGGGCCCACCCGGUAAGCAAGCACCCUAAUCGGGUAAGGGGGGUUGAUGACUUCGGACUCCGCGUCCGAAUCACCCCCUUCACUGUCGUCAGGUUCCUCCUCUAAGUUUCCUUAAUCUUCUUCCUCCUUCUGUUCUUCUUCUGGUUCGGCAGGCUCGCCCUCGGAUCCUACCUCCGGUUCCCCGUCAGAUUCCUCCUCGGGGUCUUCCUCAGGCUCUUCAUCGAUCGAUCCGUUAUUUCCCUGAUUAGGGAAGUAAGGAUCUCCGGGGUGAUGGAAACCAGCCAUGCUGUCUGCGAGAGUGUGUAAAUAUGCUACCAUUAUUCCUAGGAUGCUACAACUAUUGUACAGACUAAACAAACGUUCUCUUUUUGGUGAUAAAGGGGUAUGUUUUUAGGUUCCCUAGCCAUCACGAUCUCCUCAGGACGUGUGGUAGUGAUACCUUGGUAGGAAUGUAGUUGAUCAGGCUACAUCCGUUCCUUGAUACAACUAAGAACAGUCCUGGAUUAACAGAGAUACUAGCAUUAUCUUGUUUGAUUCGGUGUUAGGUUCUCGUUCCUAAUACAAGCAAGGGUGUUUUAUUAUUAUGUUUUACUUUUUUUGUUCAGAGUUGUGUUAGUCCCUCUUUUGGUUUAUAGUUGCAUAUCAAUGUGUGGCUAGAUAUGCUAGUUCACUAUAAACAGAGCUCUAAUACCAACCUGUCACACCCCCGAACCAGACGGCGGAAACGUCCGAGGGCUAUUGUGACUCAAUUGAAUACCAUCACAAUGAAUAUACAUGAAUCAUAACAUCAUUCAUCACCAUGCAUUGAAAUAUUACAACCGGUAUUGUUUACAUUCAGUACAUUGUUUCAAAACAUUACAUUUCCAAAACAUAAGCCAUUCGAUAUUAAUUAAACAAACAUCAUGACAUCACUGGAUACAUUUUUCUUCAAUUUACCUGUUACCUGAGAAUACAAGUAUUUUGGAAAAACGUCAACAUAUGAAAUGUUGGUGAGUUCAUAAGUAAGGUUUGAAAAGAAAUGAUUUGUAUAAUUUUGAAAACAACAGAAAAUCCGAUAUUUUCUAAAAAAAAAUGUUGUAUAUGAGAAAAAGUGUGAAGAUCCGUAAGUAUGCUUGUUGAUUAUUAUGAACGUGAAUAAUUGUUAGACUUUGUAUAUAUAUCACAUAAUUAAGGGUGUUGAAUUUCCCAGGAAAACCCGAUGUUUUCCCAAUACAUUAAAUUACGUGGCUGAGUUAGUAUUAUUCCGAUACGACGUUGUUUUCGAUAAUUCCAGGUGACAUUGGAUUAAUUACGGGUUGUGAGUCGUUAUAAUCACGCAUUAAUGAAAAUGACUAGUUUACAACUAUACAAACGAUCCCUUAGGCGUCGUCCGUACUACUCACUUAAUCCAACCACCCUGACUUCUCAUAGCCCCACAACCGAGGAGAAAAGAGGGUACGAAGUCCCCGUUAUUUCCAUAAGUCGUUCAAGGCUAUCGUGAAUGCGAAAGGCCCUUGGCCCGACUCGCAUUUGACUUCUUGACUUUGCUAGCAGUACCAAAGGACCCUUGGGGCCCAACAGCACAAUAAAGCUAUUGAAAGUCCUUUUACGCGGAAUUAGGUCAUAUAAGGCCCAAUAACAUGUAAGCGCGUUCCCUUCGGGCCUAAAGAUCAUGUCAUUGGGCUAGCUAGGCCUACCAAGCACGAUUUGAAACUUUUGAGCCCAAAGAUGGUGUAUUGACUUCUCGUGAAUUUUCUGCGUGUGUAUUGUAGUACCAUUGUUUAUUGAUUUUUUAUUCGUUAUUGAUUCGAGACCGAAUCAAUUCGUUUGAUAACGAUUUUGGUGUUCAAGGUGUAUUUAUUAUUAUGUUUCGACGGUAUAUGUAGUACUCGUAUUUUUAUUUUAAGGGAUCUAUUGUUUUAAGAGUGUGAGUUUAUCUUCUUCAGCCCUUUCUCGGAUAAAAUUUACACUUUUAACCCCUAGAGUAUAAAAAAAAUUUCCGGUUUAGUCCUUAAACUAUUUUUCUUGACACUUUAGUAUCAAAACUUGUUGGAAAGACAUUUUUAGCACAAAUUUACUUGAUAAACAGCUUAAGUCCUUCAAAAAUGAAAUUUUCUCGGUUGAAACCUCCAUUUUUGCAACUUUUACAAUUUUGACCCAAAAUGGAAAAUUUUUGCAUCUUUGGUCCCUUUUUAAUUGGAAAAGCAUUUUUGACCCUUGAAAUAGAUUUGGUACACUAGUAAUCCCCGGUUUUACAGAAAUGUGCAGUUUCAGCCCCUCCAACUAAAAAAUUUCGCAAUUUAGGGCUUUAUUGGGCCGAAAAGUGCAUUUUGGUCCAUUAUGUUUAAAUUUCACAUUUUUAACCCUUCAAAAGUGUUAAUAUUCAGAAAAUACAUAUUAGAAACUGUUUAGACUCAUCUCAACCUUCAUAAUUCAUAUAUUGUCGUUUUGGGCCCUUUAGUUUUGUAUUUUUAGCAUUUUGAGCCCAAAAAU
Molecule: long non-coding RNA, 8271 nt
Filed under: Lactuca sativa (garden lettuce)
Lineage: Eukaryota; Viridiplantae; Streptophyta; Magnoliopsida; Asterales; Asteraceae
Description: long non-coding RNA (LSAT_LNC003912)
Source: RNAcentral